GGUAUAGCUGAAUGGUAGAGCUCCUGCUUAGCAUGCAGGAGGUCCUGGGUUCAAUCCCUACCUAGUACC
Molecule: transfer RNA, 69 nt
Filed under: Camelus bactrianus (Bactrian camel)
Lineage: Eukaryota; Metazoa; Chordata; Mammalia; Artiodactyla; Camelidae
Also listed under: 3 other names
Rfam family: tRNA
About the family: Transfer RNA (tRNA) molecules are approximately 80 nucleotides in length.
Source: Rfam by way of RNAcentral